GUGGGGAAUCUUGCGCAAUGGGCGAAAGCCUGACGCAGCCAUGCCGCGUGAAUGAUGAAGGUCUUAGGAUUGUAAAAUUCUUUCACCGGGGACGAUAAUGACGGUACCCGGAGAAGAAGCUCCGGCUAACUUCGUGCCAGCAGCCGCGGUAAUACGAAGGGGGCUAGCGUUGCUCGGAAUUACUGGGCGUAAAGGGCGCGUAGGCGGACAGCUUAGUCAGAGGUGGAAGCCCAGGGCUCAACCGUGGAAUUGCCUUUGAUACUGGCUGUCUUGAGUUUGGGAGAGGUGAGUGGAACUCCGAGUGUAGAGGUGAAAUUCGUAGAUAUUCGGAAGAACACCAGUGGCGAAGGCGACUCACUGGCCCAAUAGUGACGCUGAGGCGCGAAAUCGUGGGGAGCAAACAGCAUUAGAAGCCCUUGUAGUCC
This 425-nucleotide ribosomal RNA is filed under the name uncultured bacterium. Its description in RNAcentral is "partial 16S ribosomal RNA". It matches the Rfam family "Bacterial small subunit ribosomal RNA", at positions 354 to 796 of the family's 1533-position model. The record is from RNAcentral.